Oryza barthii is the source of this 193-nucleotide non-coding RNA. The record is from Rfam. NCBI's taxonomy places the organism in Eukaryota, Viridiplantae, Streptophyta, Magnoliopsida, Poales, Poaceae.
AAAAAAGCAAACCGUAGGUUCUCGUACCAACGUUUGACUGUCCGUCUUAUAUGAAAUUUUUUUAUAAUUAAUAUUUUUAUUGUUGUUAGAUGAUAAAACAUGAUUAAUACUUUAUACGUGACUUAUCUUUUUAAUUUUUUUAAAUAAGACAGACGGUCAAACGUUAGACACGGAAACCAGGGUUUGUCUUUUU